This 516-nucleotide unclassified non-coding RNA is filed under the name Histoplasma capsulatum. RNAcentral describes it as "contains ITS1, 5.8S rRNA, ITS2". The stretch from base 211 to 363 matches the Rfam family "5.8S ribosomal RNA". Lineage: Eukaryota; Fungi; Ascomycota; Eurotiomycetes; Onygenales; Ajellomycetaceae. The record is from RNAcentral.
CACGCCGUGGGGGGCUGGGAGCCUCUGACCGGGAACCCCCCCACCCCCCUACCCGGCCACCCUUGUCUACCGGACCUGUUGCCUCGGCGGGCCUGCAGCGAUGCUGCCGGGGGAGCUUCUCCUCCCCGGGCCCGUGUCCGCCGGGGACACCGCAAGAACCGUCGGUGAACGAUUGGCGUCUGAGCAUGAGAGCGAUAAUAAUCCAGUCAAAACUUUAACACGGAUCUCUUGGUUCCGACAUCGAUGAAGAACGCAGCGAAAUGCGAUAAGUAAUGUGAAUUGCAGAAUUCCGUGAAUCAUCCGAAUCUUUGAACGCACAUUGCGCCCCCUGGUAUUCCGGGGGGCAUGCCUGUCCGAGCGUCAUUGCAACCCUCAAGCGCGGCUUGUGUGUUGGGCCAUCGUCCCCCCUCGACCGGCGGGACGUGCCGAAAUGCAGUGGCGGUGUCGAGUUCCGGUGCCCGAGCGUAUGGGGCUUUGCCACCCGCUCUGGAGGCCCGGCCGGCUCCUGCCCACCAU